GACGAACGCUGGCGGCGUGCCUAAUACAUGCAAGUUGAGCGAUGAAGCUUGGUGCUUGCACCAAUUUGAAGAGCAGCGAACGGGUGAGUAACGCGUGGGGAAUCUGCCUUUGAGCGGGGGACAACAUUUGGAAACGAAUGCUAAUACCGCAUAAUAACUUUAAACAUAAGUUUUAAGUUUGAAAGAUGCAAUUGCAUCACUCAAAGAUGAUCCCGCGUUGUAUUAGCUAGUUGGUGAGGUAAAGGCUCACCAAGGCGAUGAUACAUAGCCGACCUGAGAGGGUGACCGGCCACAUUGGGACUGAGACACGGCCCAAACUCCUACGGGAGGCAGCAGUAGGGAAUCUUCGGCAAUGGACGAAAGUCUGACCGAGCAACGCCGCGUGAGUGAAGAAGGUUUUCGGAUCGUAAAACUCUGUUGGUAGAGAAGAACGUUGGUGAGAGUGGAAAGCUCAUCAAGUGACGGUAACUACCCAGAAAGGGACGGCUAACUACGUG
RNAcentral lists this ribosomal RNA (497 nucleotides) under uncultured bacterium. RNAcentral describes it as "partial 16S ribosomal RNA". It matches the Rfam family "Bacterial small subunit ribosomal RNA", at positions 28 to 507 of the family's 1533-position model. The record is from RNAcentral.